This 7602-nucleotide long non-coding RNA is filed under the name Cucumis sativus (cucumber). Its description in RNAcentral is "long non-coding RNA (CSAT_LNC001841)". Lineage: Eukaryota; Viridiplantae; Streptophyta; Magnoliopsida; Cucurbitales; Cucurbitaceae. The record is from RNAcentral.
UUGACAAACAUGGAGAGGAAUUAAAAAGACAAGAGAGAGAGAAUUAGGAGACAUGUAAUCCGUUAUUAGGUAAGUACCAUUGAUUAUUUCAGUAUAUAUGGCUAUACCAUUUUCAUAUAGGUAAUUAAACACAAUAAUGCCCCUUACUUUUCAUAUAUAUAUAAAUAAAGGACAUAUUAUUCUGAAGACAGGGAGAGCAAUCUAAUACUACUUAUACCCGAGUAUAGCUUGAAAGCUGACAAGUUCAUAGCUAUUUUCUGGAAUUGUAAGAUACUUAACUAUUUUAGCCACAUAUGCCACAGGAUAUCCGUCGCAGUUUUUAGCUUCUAUCACGAGAAUAUAUGACCAUAAUAUAGUUCCAAUAAUAGCACGGGGUGCUAAACCACUCACUACACGAGUGAAAACUAAAUUGUCAUUUUCUUUCUUGUUAUGUUCAUCCACUGCUAUCUUUCCAGCUUCUAUCACGUUUGGGCUAUGGACAUCCUUAAUCAGGUCAUGAGUAUUUGGAAGUACUUGUACACAACUCAUGAUAUUUGGAUCGUUUGAUAUGGUUAAUUAGAGAAGAUAUUAGUAGGGUUUUGAUUUUAGAGUUUGGUAUUUAUAGUUGUGAUUCAACGCUCUUGCAACGUUAAAAUUGUCUAAUUUGAUAGAAUGGAAUCUUGCAAUUAGACACAUUAUUACAUGUGAAUUAAAAGAAGAGACGAUUGAUAUUCAUCAUCUUUACGCUAAGAGAUAACUUUGAAUCAAAUUCCUCUUUUGGGUUCAUGGGUUAUGUUAUCUUAGUCAAACAAUAAUGCACCUUUUUGUGAUUUAGCUACGGAUUUUUGGAUAAUUGUUUUAAAUGGUAAAGUUGCUGCAAAUAUUUUCAAAUAUGGCAAAAUGUCACUUAUCAACAAAAUGACAAUUCAGUUAUCUCUAUUUGAGCUCAUAGUUAGGCGCUAAAUCAUAAAGAAUAGAAGAUUUUGUGUUCAUAUGAGUAUACUAUGUUAUCUUUGGUUACUCCCAUUUCUUUUAUUUAUUUCUUUGUUUAUUUUAUUUAUUUGAUUAUUUGAUUACUCAGUUUAUACCAAAUAUUAAAUGAAACAUUCAAACAAUCUCAGUGCAUCCAAUAUCUUGUAGCAAAAUUAAUCUCAUCAAUAUCAAUGAGUAAUUUCAAAUCAAAUCAAGUAUCUAUGACUUGGCUGCAAUGGAAUGUGGACACAACCACAUAUGGGUACCGCUACACCUAAUUAUUUAUGUUUUUGUAUUGGUACUACAUGUAGAAGAAAGAAGAUACAAAAAUUAGAACCAUAGAGAAACUUUAAGGUGUUAGUUUUAAAAUUCAAAAAACCAAAACUUUGAUGAAAAACAUUGUGUAACCCAAUUUGGAGGCCAAAACGGACGUUUUUGGGAUGUGUCGAGUCUUGUAGCCCACUUGGAAUGCACCUUGCUCUGAUUCACCCAAGAAAUAACCUUCUCGCCUUCUCUUGAUCAAAACGCAAACUUCCUUGAAUCUAAAUUGCACAACAGCCCCCAUUCACAAACUAGACUCAUUUUCUGAACUUUCAAGACUAAUUUGUAUAAUUUUGCGUGAGUAAGUUGUGACAAAUUGAUUGCUAAAUUAGUUGUAGGUUUUAGUACUGAAUUCCAAUUUGAAGUGUUGUUAGGAUUUAAAAUUGAAGUUGUGUUUGAAUUUGAGAUUGAAGUUGAGUUCGAAUUCCAAUUUGAAUUUAGGAAUUAUAUUGAAUUCGACGAGGAUUAUAUUGAAUGGGGGGGGGGGGGGUUAUAUAUUGUAGAUUGUAGAUGACGUUGCCUCUAAAUAAUUUAUAUGUGGAUGAAUGUUGUUAGUGAAUGUUAUUGUUGGUAAAUUUUAGUUAAAUUUUGGUUGAAAAGUGUUGCUUUUAUAAUUUAUAGUUAGUUUAUGGUUGAAUUGGAUUUAUAUUUGAUUUUGUAGUUAGGAGUGGUUGAAUAAGAGUUAGUUUAGGGAUUAAUGUUGUUGAAUUUUGUUAUUGUUGUAAGAUGUUGUAUCAAUAUUUGUUGUUUAACUUGUUACUAAGACUACUAGUUAGUUGAUAAGUUAUUGGUUUUGUUUAGUAAUAAACUUCUCCAAGUUAUAAGCUUUUUAGUUCUUUCGUUCAUGUCUAUCAUUUAUCUUUCGAGCUUUAUAUCUCCAUCAAUACUAACUCAUUUUAUGCAUAUGACCACUUGAUUAGAUGCGUUUUUUCACGAUCUUUACAUCUAUUAUCAUAAAGUUAGCAUUUUAUUAACGUAUCUUGACAUUAAAUUUCCUUCAAAACUACAUAAACCUAUAAUUAAACUUUGGAAGUCCAUAACUUUGAGCAUAGUUGUCCGAAUUGGAUUUUUUUCUUAUUUCAUGUAACUUUACGAGAUCUACGUUCUUGACAAGUUUCUAAAUUCAGUUUCCCUUGGAAUGUAAUUCUGCAAUUACGGGAUGAGAAAAUUAACUCAUUUUAGAGCAACUUUGAAGAAUGAAGUUAGUCAAAACAGUUACGUAUUUAAAGUUAUGAUUUUUCAAAGACGAUUCAUGUUUAUGGAAGUUUUAAAUAUUCAUAUCGUAAGAUUAUUAUAUCAAAAAUAAAAUAUGAGUUGAUAGAUUGGAGGUGAGAAAAAUUGUGUAUAUGUUAAGUCCCUUAAUUUAAAAUGUCCAUAUUCUCACACAGGUGAUCUAAAUAAAUAACAAAAUUAUGAAUUGAGUUGACAAACAAUGGAGAGAAAUUAAAAAGACAACCGAGACAAAGAAAAUUAUAAUUAGGAUAAUUGUACUCUAUUAUUGUAUAAGUAUCAUUGAUUAUUUCAGUAUAUAUGACUACCAUUUUCAUAUAAGUAAUUAAACAUAACAAUGCCCCUUAUUUAUAUAUAUAAAUAAAGGGCAUAUUAUUCUGAAGAUAGGGAAGGCAAUCUAAUACUACUUAUACUCGAGUACAGCUUCAAACCUCACAAGUUCAUAAUUAUUUUCUGGAAAAUACUUAUCUAUUUCAACCACAUAUGUUAAAGGAUAUCCAUCGCAAGUUUUAGCUUCUAUCACAAGAAUAUAUGACGAUAAUUUUAUCCAAGGAAGAGCAAGGUGUUGGUAACCAGUCACUACACGAAUGAAAACUAAAUUGUCAUUUUCUUUCUUGUUAUGUUCUUCUACAGCUAUCUUUCCAGCUUCUACCACAUUUGGGCUAUGGACAUCCUCAAUCAGUUUAAGAGCAUUUGGAGGUAAUUGUACGCAACUCAUGAUAUUUGGACUGUUGGAUAUGGUUAAUUAGAGAAGAUAUUAGUAGGGUUUUGAUUUUAGGGUUUGGUAUUUAUAGUUGUGAUUCAACGCUCUUGCAACGCUAAACUUGUCUAAUUUGAUAGAAUGGAAUAUUGCAAUUAGACUCAUUAUUACACGUUAAUUAAAAGAAAAGACGAUUGAUAUUCAUCCUCUUUACGCUAAGAGAUAACUUUGAAUCAAAUUCCUCUUUACGCUAAGAGAUAACUUUGAAACAAAUUCCUCUUUUGGGUUCAUAUAGGUUAUGUUAUUUUAGGCAAACAAUGAUGCACCUUUUUGUGAUUUAGCUACAAAUUUUUGGAUAAUUGUUUUAAAUGGUAAAGUUGCUGCAAAUAUUUAAUUUUCAAAUAUGGCAAAAGGUCACUUAUCAACAAAAUGACAAUUUAGUCAUCUUUAUUUGAGCUCAUACUUGGACACUAAAUCAUAAAGAAUAGAAGAGUUUUUGUUCAUAUGAGUAUACUAUGUUAUCUUUGGUUAUUCCAAUUUCUUUUAUUUAUUUAUUUUAUUCGUUGAUUAGUUAGUUUAUAUCCAAACAAAUCAGAAGAUUAGCAGUUUUAGGCUAUUUAGAUUCGGUCAGAUUUUCUUAGGUUGUUUCGUGUGUUUUUUUGUGGGUCUUUUUAUGCGGGACUACGUCUGAGAUGUGUGAUAAUUUUUUUUUUUUUUGAGAAACCAUGAUUCUGAUGAGGUGGAAUUGCUAUUGAAACUUGGCAGCUAUAUCGUUGAUUUUGGUGAGUUCAUCGUACGUGAUAUCUUACUAUUGUGGUAGUUAAAGGUGAAGAAAGUAGAAGCGGAGGGAUCGUACAGAGUCAAGGGAAUGCUUGAUAUUUGAGGUUGUCUUGUAAUAUCUCAUUUAGGGGAACAUGCUCCGGUAUACAUGAGACGGGUUCAGUGCAGAACAAUCCUAGGCAAGUGUAUUUGUAGAUCUUAGAUUGACUGUGUAUAUGAUUAUUCUAUAUCAUGUUGAUUUUUAUAUAAUGGACAAUAGUCUUGUACUCAUGACUAUUUUAUAAGAUAUUAGAUGAUCUCUUCCCAUGGAUUAAAGACCUCCUAGAUGUAGAUGUUGUGACCUCAAACUAGGUCACCAGCUCUCUCUCUUUUUUUUUUUUUUUUUUUUUUUUUUGCAUUUAGUUACUUGUAUGUUUUUCUUUUUCUUUAGUAAAUGAGCGUGGUUUCAUGUGUUAAAACGUCUAAGGUAAAGAUGUCACAUCUUCAAAUUUUAACAUCCAAGUUUGAACCUCUUAAAAUUAUAGACAAUGAAGCGAUAGUAGAAUUUCUCCCCAAUUCUAGGACAGUUGUUUUUUUCUUUUCCAUAUAAAUACCCUAAUUUAUCCCCAAUUCUUUACUAAUUCGCACCAUUCAUCACCUGUAAAAAAGCCGUAAUAGAAUUUUCUCUCAAUAAAAUUGUGUCCAUUUUUUCUCUCUCAUAUUGAUUAUGCAAUUCUUCAAUUCUAGUAUAUAUUUUCGAGUUAUUUGAACUGGCAACCCGAAUAAUCCGAAUUUAGUUUCUAACCCAACUCAACUCGUAAAAUAUAGGUGGAGUUGUCCGGUUGAAUAUAUAAAUAUUUUAUUAAUUUUUCCUCUUUUCUAGUUUCUAAUAGUUAUAAAAGUUUAAAAUUGUUACAUUUAGAUGUCAAACAUACAUGAUUCAAACUUUCAUACAAUAAAUUCAAAAUUUAUAUACCUCUAAUUUGUUUUUAUUAAAAUAACAUUUAUUUAUUUAUUUAUAUAUUGUAUUAAUUCGGAUUGGGUUAGGUUGAACCAAAUUUUUCAACCUCCAACCCAAGACCCAACCCAAUCCGAAAAAAUCAAAUUUUUUUAACCCAACCCAACCCAUAUUUUAACCUAAUCCAAUCCAACCCUUAUAAUAUAGGUUGGGUAGUCCGGGUUAUUCAGGUUCAAUCUAUAUUUGUACACCCCUGUAUUAGUCCUUUAAUUUUCUCCAAGAAAGUAUGAUUUUAAUUAAAAUUUUAGUUUACAAAAUUAAUCCUUUUCGUAAUUGUAAACUAUGAUAAUUAAUUCUACUAACUACUUUCGAUUAAUUUUUUUUAUUUAAUAUUUAAAAUUAUAAACAAACUUUUAUAAGGUUGAUUUUUUAGAUCAAACCAAUUAAAAUUAUUUCAAUCUUUAGUUUAUUUGACUUGUCAUGCAAAAUCUAUAACAAUAAUUUUAAAAUGGGAGUGCUCGUAGUAUAGUUUAAUUUUGAGAACUAAAAUUAAAAAAAAAAGAAAAAGAAAAAAAGAAUUUUAAUUUAUUAUUUGUUAUUAAUCAAAUAUCUAUUUGAAGUUAAAUAAAAAGUAAAUAGUAAUGCAGAUUGUUUGAGUGGUUUAGGUUCCACCCAACAAAGAGAGUUUUCCAUAAUUUUUUUAUUUUCAUGCAUAAAAGAGAAUGAAAAAAAUAUGAAAACACUAAUGUACCCAUUUUUUAAGCCAAUGAUUUUACACCAUGUGUCAAUCAUGAAAAGGUGAAGCCCACCUAAUCCCAAAUCAAGGGACCAAACAGUACCUAUAGGAAUAGUUAGGUUAAUAAUGAAAAUUGUGGAUGACUUUUGUCUAAUGCCAUGCUUCUUAACUUGCUUUCAAAAUAUUAAUUAAUCAAUUCAACUUGCAUGAAAUUCAUGCAAAAGACGGUUUCAUAGAGAAAGUAAUUUGAAAAUAGUUUAUAACAACAUAUCCCAUGUAGAACAUUUCAGUAAUUAACAAAAAGUUUCAUUCUUUUCUUUAUUUUUACUUUUGCAAUUUUACCCUUACAACUUUUAUCUUAACUCUAAAAUAUAUUAUUAAGGUCGAAACAAUUCUAGAAUAGUUAAAUUAAAUCGGUCGUUUGAUCUUUAACACAUUCGUUUGUGCUACACUGUGAUCUUUCAAAAUAAUUUUGAUGGUGAAAUAUAUAAAAACAUGAUAGGGUUAUAUUUCUCCCAUUCAUGGUGCAUGAUGAUGUGUAACUUUUAAUAUUUGUUUUAGUUAUUGUAAUUAUUAUAAAACAAGGGUGUGUGGAGUUCUAUGGUAAAAAGGGGAGAGGGAUUUUUCUAAUUAUUUUUAUUUCAAUUAUAUUGGAAAUUACCAUGUCUUUCACAAAUGAUCUUACAAUAAAGAUUACUGUAUCAAACAAUAUGAACAAUAUGAACAUGUUCAACUUACAUGCAAUAAAUGAUUUGGGUAGGUAUCAUGUUAUAUUAUUUGAACUAUUUUUUAUUAGUUAAAAUAUUUAUAAAAUAUAACAAAAUAUUACAGUUUGACUAUUUACGAUGAUAAAUAAAGAUAGAUCACUAUACAUGUGUUCAUUACACUCAACUUAUGUCAUGAUAGACACUCAAAUUGUGUUACAUGAUAAAUACAUAAGAGUCUAUCUUAAUAUAUUAUAGCUAGAUUGUAAUAUUUUAAUUACUAUAUUUAUAUAUUUAAGUUGUGUGAAUUAAAAUAAUUUUUUAUAAUUUGUCUUGAAAAUAUAAAACCUUAAUUUACAUAUACUUUGUUAAUACAAUAUACCUUAGCGUUACGAGGAUGACUUAAUAUUAUGUUAGAAAACUAUUUUGGUAAAAGACAAUCAUUUGUGCUAAUUAUAUUUUGUGAGCAAGAGCAUGGAUGUAGUUAAAUAUUCAUAUCGUAGGAUACUUUGUUAUAUCAAAAAUGAAAUAUAAGUUUAUAGAUUGGAGGUGAGAAAAUUUGUGUAUAUGUUAAGUCCCUUAAUUUAAAAUGUCCAUAUUCUCACAUAGGUGAUCUAAAUAAAUAACAAAAUUAUGAAUUUAGUUGACAACCAUGGAGAGAAAUUAAAAAGACAAGAGAGAGAACAUUAGGACACAUGUGCUCCAUUAUUAGGCAAGUAUCAUUGAUUAUUUCAUAUAGGUAAUUAAACACAGUAAUACCCCUUAUUUAUAUAUAUAAAUAAAGGGCAUAUUAUUCUGAAGAUAGGGGAGAGCAAUCUAAUACUACUUAUACUCGAGUACUGCUUCAAACCUCACGAGUUUAUAGUUAUUUUCUGGAAAAUACUUGUCUAUUUCAACCACAUAUGUUACAGGAUAUCCAUCGCAAGUUUUAGCUUCUAUCACAAGAAUAUAUGACCAUAUUUUAAUCAAAAUAAUAAAACGGGGUGCUAAACCACUCACUGCACGAAUGAAAACUAGAUUGUCAUUUUCUUUCUUGUUAUGUUCUUCCACUGCUAUCUUUCCAGCUUCUAUCACGCUUGGGCUAUGGACAUUCUCAAUCAGCUCAUAAAUAUUUGGAGGUACUUGUACACAACUCAUGAUAUUUGAACUGUUGGAUAUGGUUAAUUAGAGAAGAUAUUAAUAGAGUUUUGAUUUCAGAGUUUGGUAUUUAUAGUUGUGAUUCAACGCUCUUGCAACGUUAAAG